RNAcentral lists this long non-coding RNA (686 nucleotides) under Homo sapiens (human). RNAcentral's name for it is "HSALNT0081852". The record is from RNAcentral. Lineage: Eukaryota; Metazoa; Chordata; Mammalia; Primates; Hominidae.
GGUCCAACACCAUAUGGAAGCUGCCAAGGCUUGAAGCAAUGGCCUAAGCUGGAUCUCGACCCCUUUUAGCCACAGCUGAAACUGGAAUGGCUGGGAUGCAGGACACCAAGUCCCAAGGCUGCACAGAGCAACAGGUCCCUGGGCCAGGCCCAGCAUUAGGCCUAUCAAGUGUCAUGCACAGCUCAAGAGGAAAUGCUAUCUGGAAAUCCCCCAACUCCCAUGGAAAUUCCCAGCUGGCUCCCUGUACACUGCAGAUACCUGAAGUGGUUUUGAAGACUGGGCAGCUAAGACCUAAGUGAAGAAGAAUUCCUCCCCUGCAAGGAUGACCAAGAACCCAGCCGCUCUGUUUCCUUCCCGACUGGAGUCCUCUUCUCCACUGGGACCAGCUGUAUCCACCUGACCUCCAAGAGCACUCUCCAUGCCACGCACAGGGCACUGAGUGAACACCCACCUCAUUUCUCCCAGCAUGGAAAGUCAUUCCAGGAAUUCUGUGGGCAGUGGAGAGGCCCUUCCCCUUCCAGCAUGGGAAAGCCAGGCUGGUUGGGAAGCAGCUCAACUCAAGCUGCUGCUGAUACAGGUGCCCUCUCCUAGCCCCUCCCUUGUCCCCACCUGCAUUUCACCUCAAUUUCUAUCUGCAUAUGUGUCAAGUUCUCCCAAAUCCAGCAGCCACCAUGCCUGGCCUCACC